AUGAACACCCCCACCACCACCUCAAUCCAAGUUGAUGGUGCCAUCUUCAAAUGUAGCAGCCUGCAAUCCUUGUUAGCCGGCUCUCACAUGUCGAACCUUUAAUUGCCGUUUUGCAACAUCUUAUAUGACGACACAUAAGCGAAAACAAACGGAAGGAAGACGUGAUGACUGUCCACAUUGAUAAGUGAAAUGUUCUACUUCGAAUGAAGCAUCUGAGGAGAACAAACGAUUUCGAGUUCACGGUCACGCAUUUGACGAGGGUUUCCCCCCACCCCCUACGCCGACUGGCGUAAUGGUUUGAGUUGAACUCCUUACCGAAGUCAUUGGCUGAAGGUGGAGGUGGGCAGGACUGAACCUGGAAUGGACUAUUUCAAAUGGGGAAAAGAAGUUCUUGUGGAAAAUGGCUAGUUCAUAUUGUGUUUGAAAAUAGACGUUUCGCGAGCACGGCAAUAAAAUAUGAUAAGUAAGAAGUAA
Hippocampus comes (tiger tail seahorse) is the source of this 474-nucleotide long non-coding RNA. RefSeq lists it as uncharacterized. The transcript has 3 exons. NCBI's taxonomy places the organism in Eukaryota, Metazoa, Chordata, Actinopteri, Syngnathiformes, Syngnathidae. The record is from RefSeq and is a predicted model, not a curated record.